AUAAUCACAUGAUUAGUAUGGUAAAGUUCCGACGGAAAGAGAUGGACAUGCGUGUCAUUAGUUAGUUGGUGAGGUAACGGCUCACCAAGACGACGAUGACUAGGGGUUCUGAAAGGAUGAUCCCCCACACUGGUACUGAGACACGGACCAGACUCCUACGGGAGGCAGCAGUGAGGAGUAUUGCGCAAUGGAGGCAACUCUGACGCAGCCAUGCCGCGUGCAGGAGGACGGCCCUACGGGUUGUAAACUGCUUUUCUUAACUAAGAACCGUGGAUAAUCUUAUCCACCUGACUGGUUUUGGAAUAAGCAUCGGCUAACUCCGUGCCAGCAGCCGCGGUAAAUACGGAGGAUGCAAGCGUUAUCCGGAUUCACUAGGUUUAAAGGGUGCGUAGGCGGAAUAAUAAGUCAGUGGUGAAAUCUUGCGGCUCAACCGUAAAAUUGCCAUUGAUACUGUUACUCUUGAGUAUGGUUGAGGUAGGCGGAAUGAGUAAUGUAGCGGUGAAAUGCUUAGAUAUUACUCAGAACACCGAUUGCGUAGGCAGCUUACCAAGCCAUCACUGACGCUGAGGCACGAAAGCGUGGGUAGCAAACAGGAUUAGAUACCCUGGUAGUCCACGCCGUAAACGUUGAUUACUCGUUGUUGGCAAUACACCGUCAGCGACUGAGCAAAAGCAUUAAGUAAUCCACCUGGGGAGUACGUCAGCAAUGAUGAAACUCAAAGGAAUUGACGGGGGCCCGCACAAGCGGAGGAACAUGUGGUUUAAUUCGAUGAUACGCGAGGAACCUUACCUGGGCUUAAAUGUUUAGUGAUCGACCGGGAGACCGGUUUUUCAUUCGGGACACUUUACAAGGUGCUGCAUGGUUGUCGUCAGCUCGUGCCGUGAGGUGUCGGGUUAAGUCCCAUAACGAG
Molecule: ribosomal RNA, 910 nt
Filed under: uncultured organism
Description: bacterial SSU rRNA
Rfam family: Bacterial small subunit ribosomal RNA
Source: RNAcentral